This 377-nucleotide unclassified non-coding RNA is filed under the name uncultured fungus. Its description in RNAcentral is "partial contains 5.8S ribosomal RNA and internal transcribed spacer 2". The stretch from base 1 to 133 matches the Rfam family "5.8S ribosomal RNA", at positions 22 to 154 of the family's 154-position model. Lineage: Eukaryota; Fungi. The record is from RNAcentral.
UGGCUCUCGCAUCGAUGAAGAACGCAGCGAAAUGCGAUAAGUAAUGUGAAUUGCAGAUUUCAGUGAAUCAUCGAAUCUUUGAACGCACCUUGCGCUCCUUGGUAUUCCGAGGAGCAUGCCUGUUUGAGAGUCAUUAAAUUCUCAACUCUCUAGCGGUUGUCAUGACCGCUGGUAGAGCUUGGAUGUGAGGGUUUUGCCGGCUCCUUGCAGAGUCUGGCUCCCUUGAAAAAUAUUAGCGCAGCUUUGCACUGUCUGCUACAGGUGUGAUAAUCUAUCUACUCCUGAUUAGUGACGCGCAUGAAUAGAGCUAUGUGCUUCUAAUCGUCUCCGGACAAUUUUUUGAACUUGACCUCAAAUCAGGUAGGACUACCCGCUGA